Molecule: ribosomal RNA, 465 nt
Filed under: uncultured bacterium
Lineage: Bacteria
Description: partial 16S ribosomal RNA
Rfam family: Bacterial small subunit ribosomal RNA
Source: RNAcentral
GAUGAACGCUGGCGGCGUGCUUAACACAUGCAAGUCGAACGGAAAGGCUCCUGCUUGCAGGGGUACUCGAGUGGCGAACGGGUGAGUAACACGUGGGUGAUCUGCCCUGCACUUCGGGAUAAGCCUGGGAAACUGGGUCUAAUACCGGAUAGGACGAUGGUUUGGAUGCCAUUGUGGAAAGUUUUUCAGUGUGGGAUGAGCUCGCGGCCUAUCAGCUUGUUGGUGGGGUAAUGGCCUACCAAGGCGUCGACGGGUAGCCGGCCUGAGAGGGUGUACGGCCACAUUGGGACUGAGAUACGGCCCAGACUCCUACGGGAGGCAGCAGUGGGGAAUAUUGCACAAUGGGCGCAAGCCUGAUGCAGCGACGCCGCGUGGGGGAUGACGGCCUUCGGGUUGUAAACUCCUUUCGCUAGGGACGAAGCGCAAGUGACGGUACCUGGAGAAGAAGCACCGGCUAACUACGUG